Molecule: long non-coding RNA, 265 nt
Filed under: Trifolium pratense (red clover)
Lineage: Eukaryota; Viridiplantae; Streptophyta; Magnoliopsida; Fabales; Fabaceae
Description: long non-coding RNA (TPRA_LNC002224)
Source: RNAcentral
GUAUAUAAAUUAAAUUCAUCAAAUAAUCAAUGACCAUGUUGUCUUAAAUGUGUAUCAUACAUCGACACGUGACACUGGCUCUCUCUUUCACAGACACACCCAAUUUUAUUUUUUGAGAAGGCCUUCACCACCCACCUCUCCAAAGGACAUAUUUUAUAUAUCGAAAAAUGUUAUUCCAAAGUGAAUGGAAAAAAAGUGUGUUAAUUUUGUGUCCCCAAAUUUUGUGUUUAGAUAACACUCCUCUUUAUUCAAAAAUACAAUAAAU